This 494-nucleotide ribosomal RNA is filed under the name uncultured bacterium. Its description in RNAcentral is "partial 16S ribosomal RNA". It matches the Rfam family "Bacterial small subunit ribosomal RNA", at positions 28 to 507 of the family's 1533-position model. The record is from RNAcentral.
GACGAACGCUGGCGGCGUGCUUAACACAUGCAAGUCGAACGGAAAGGCCUGCUUUCCCUUGUGGAUUGCGGGUACUCGAGUGGCGAACGGGUGAGUAACACGUGAGUGAUCUGCCCCCAACUUGGGUAUAAGCCUGGGAAACUGGGUCUAAUUCCCGAUAGGACUGCAGGGUGGUGCCUGUGGUGGAAAACGAUUUUCUAGUGGUUGGGGAUGAGCUCGCGGCCUAUCAGCUUGUUGGUGGGGUAAUGGCCUACCAAGGCGGCGACGGGUAGCCGGCCUGAGAGGGUGGACGGCCACAUUAGGACUGAGAUACGGCCCAGACUCCUACGGGAGGCAGCAGUGGGGAAUAUUGCACAAUGGGCGGAAGCCUGAUGCAGCGACGCCGCGUGGGGGAUGACGGCCUUCGGGUUGUAAACUCCUUUCGACCGCGAGGAAGCCACCUGGUUGGAAGGGUGGUGACGGUAGUGGUAGAAGAAGCACCGGCUAACUACGUG